RNAcentral lists this ribosomal RNA (144 nucleotides) under Anguilla anguilla (European eel). RNAcentral describes it as "partial small subunit ribosomal RNA". It matches the Rfam family "Bacterial small subunit ribosomal RNA", at positions 769 to 946 of the family's 1533-position model. Lineage: Eukaryota; Metazoa; Chordata; Actinopteri; Anguilliformes; Anguillidae. The record is from RNAcentral.
AAACUGGGAUUAGAUACCCCACUAUGCUCAACCUUAAACAACGAUGACACCAUACAAAUAUCAUCCGCCAGGGGACUACGAGCGUUAGCUUAAAACCCAAAGGACUUGGCGGUGCCUCAAACCCACCUAGAGGAGCCUGUUCUA